CAGUCGCCACGGGAAUACGAAGGGUGCAAGCGUUACUCGGAAUUACUGGGCGUAAAGCGUGCGUAGGUGGUGGUUUAAGUCCGUUGUGAAAGCCCUGGGCUCAACCUGGGAAUUGCAGUGGAUACUGGGUCACUAGAGUGUGGUAGAGGAUAGUGGAAUUUCCGGUGUAGCAGUGAAAUGCGUAGAGAUCGGAAGGAACAUCUGUGGCGAAGGCGACUAUCUGGGCCAACACUGACACUGAGACACGAAAGCGUGGGGAGCAAACAGGAUUAGAUACCCCAGUAGUCCCUGUCUCUUAUAA
Molecule: ribosomal RNA, 301 nt
Filed under: uncultured bacterium
Lineage: Bacteria
Description: partial 16S ribosomal RNA
Rfam family: Bacterial small subunit ribosomal RNA
Source: RNAcentral